RNAcentral lists this long non-coding RNA (234 nucleotides) under Camelus dromedarius (Arabian camel). Its description in RNAcentral is "lncRNA (ENSCDRG00005017850.1)". The record is from RNAcentral. Lineage: Eukaryota; Metazoa; Chordata; Mammalia; Artiodactyla; Camelidae.
AUCGAAGUGGGGAGAGCAGAGGCCAGCCCUGGCCAGGACCAGCCGGAUGUUGGAGGUGAAAGGAAGGACGGAGAGCGCUGUUCCUGGGAGGGGGUGGCCAAGGGACGCCAGAGAUGGAAGACAGUCAGGCUCCAGGUGGCGGGGCAGGCUUGUGAAAGGCCAAGGGAGAAGUAAGGUGAGGCAGCGGAACAUGCCAGACCAUCUUCCCCCAGACCGGGGGACAAGAAAACAUCA